GACGAACGCUGGCGGCGUGCUUAACACAUGCAAGUCGAACGGCAACGCCCUGCUUUUGUGCGCUGCUCGAGUGGCGAUCGGGUGCGUAACACGUGUGUAUCCUGCCCUUCUCUUUGGUAUAACUUCAGGAAACUGGGGCUAAUCCCGUAUCGGAGCUCCUGCUCCAUGGUGGGCGUUGGAUCGUUUCGGCGGUUGGGGAUGGACUCGCGGGUUAUCGGCUUGUUGGUGGGGUAGUUGCUUACCCAGGCUUUGACGGGUAGCCGGCAUGUGAGGGUGACCGGGGACAAGGGGCCUGAGAGACGGAGCAGAGGGCUACGGGAGGCAGCAGGGGGGAAUAUGGCACAAGGGGCGGAAGCCGGAGGCAGCAACGUCGCGUGCGUGAUGACGGCCUGCGGGGAGAGAACCGCUGUAGCCUGUGACGAAGCGGGAGUGACGGUAAUGAGAAAAGAAGCACCGGCUAACUACGUG
Molecule: ribosomal RNA, 468 nt
Filed under: uncultured bacterium
Lineage: Bacteria
Description: partial 16S ribosomal RNA
Rfam family: Bacterial small subunit ribosomal RNA
Source: RNAcentral